Molecule: transfer RNA, 212 nt
Filed under: Paramuricea clavata
Lineage: Eukaryota; Metazoa; Cnidaria; Anthozoa; Malacalcyonacea; Plexauridae
Source: RNAcentral
UUCUGUGCUGGUGUUGUGUACUCAGGUGAAUAAUAUGAUUGUGAUGUUACUCUGAGUGCAUAUCCACACCGGGCGAGCUUGAAAAAUAUGCCCGGCCACGGUGGGAUUCGAACCUACGACCUUCGGAAUACUAGCCCAAUGCUCUUCCAACUGAGCUACGCGGUCAGGACGGUUCGAGUAAGUGAUAUUUCGGAACAGUAUCUAGUUCCUUC